RNAcentral lists this unclassified non-coding RNA (869 nucleotides) under Hevea brasiliensis (rubber tree). The record is from RNAcentral. Lineage: Eukaryota; Viridiplantae; Streptophyta; Magnoliopsida; Malpighiales; Euphorbiaceae.
CUCGAUUCAAAGUGCUCAGGCUUCUUCAAUUCGUCUUUCCUCUGAUCCUAAACAGGUUUAUAAAUCAUGAAUGAAGGUGGUUAUACUGUAGAAGUUACAGGCCUCUCUCCCAAAGCUACUGAGAAGGAUCUUCAUGAUUUUUUCUCCUUCUCUGGUGCAAUUGAACAUGUUGAGAUUGUUAGAUCUGGUGAAUUUGCCUGUACUGGAUACGUGACAUUCAAAGAUGCCUAUGGUCAAGAGACGGCUGUCUUACUCAGUGGUGCUACAAUCAUGGAUCAACGGGUAUGCAUAACCCGCUGGGGGCACUAUGUAGAUGAAUUUGAUCUUUGGAACAGGCCUUCAUCAAGGGCAGAAGAUGAAACUGAAUCAACUCCCCCACAAAGAAGUGUUCCUAGUGCUGGAGAAGCAGUAACAGCGGCACAGGAAGUGGUCAAAACUAUGCUGGCCAAGGGAUAUGUGUUGGGAAAAGAUGCAUUAAGCAAGGCAAAAGCUUAUGAUGAAUCUCAUCAAGUUACUGCUACUGCAGCAGCUAAGGUUGCCGAGCUGACUGAGAGAAUUGGCCUUGCUGAUAAAAUUUUUGCUGGCAUGGAAGCUGUUAAAGCUGUGGAUCAGAAGUACCAUGUCUCUGAAAUGACCAAAUCAGCUGUAUCAGCAACAGGAAGAACAGCUGCUGCAGCAGCAGACACUGUGGUAAACAGUAGCUACUUCUCUAAGGGAGCUCUUUGGAUGUCGGAUGCUUUGAAUCGGGCAGCCAAAGUUGCUGCUGAUUUGGGUAGUCGGGGUGUUCAGCAAUGAGGCUUUGGUGUCCAACUUAGGUGCAGCUUUUGAUACUGUAUAUCGUAUGUAGUGUGUAACUAGUUGAUAGUUUU